UCUGCCCUCUACAGUGACCUUCAGCCACACAAUAAAAAGAGACUUCAGUGUAUCUCAGGCACAGCCUCUCGGUCCUGUAGCCAAGGGGUGAGGGGCACUCUGGACGUUUCUAUUUCUGGUCCUUUUUCAUCUCGCUUCGUCUUCCAUCAUGUCUUCUCUCCUGGAUAUGACCGAGUUUGGGGAGGCUGCUGACUACUUGCGGAAAAGUGACGGUGAACUUAUGAAGAUUCAGACCAUCGCUUUCGAUGGUAAGAAGAAAGCCUGGAUUCCAGAUGAGAAGGAAGCUUAUGUUGAGGUGGAAAUAAAGGAUUCUUCAGGUGGCAAUGUCACAGUGGAAACUAAAGACAAGAAGACUCUCACUGUGAAGGAAGAUGAUAUUCAGCAGAUGAACCCUCCAAAAUUCGACAUGAUUGAAGACAUGGCGAUGUUGACCCACCUAAAUGAGGCCUCUGUGUUAUCCAACCUGAGGCGUCGCUAUGCCAACUGGAUGAUUUAUACGUACUCCGGGUUGUUCUGUGUCACUGUGAACCCAUACAAAUGGCUUCCUGUGUACACACCCACCGUAGUUGCUGCUUAUAGAGGCAAGAGACGCUCAGAGGCUCCUCCCCAUAUCUACGCCAUCGCUGACAACGCAUACAAUGACAUGGUGCGGAAUCGUGAAAACCAGUCUAUGCUGAUCACUGGAGAAUCCGGUGCAGGCAAAACUGUUAACACGAAACGUGUAAUUCAGUACUUUGCCAUUGUGGCAGCCCUUGGUGAAGGGAUCGGGAAGAAGAGUCAAGCUCCAGCCACCAAAACUGGGGGCACCCUAGAAGACCAAAUUAUUGAAGCUAAUCCAGCGAUGGAAGCCUUCGGCAAUGCCAAGACCCUGAGAAAUGAUAAUUCCUCCCGAUUUGGGAAGUUUAUUCGAAUUCAAUUUGGACCUACUGGAAAACUGGCUUCAUCUGACAUUGACAUCUACCUUCUGGAAAAAUCAAGAGUAAUUUUCCAGCAGCCUGGAGAAAGAAGCUACCAUAUUUAUUACCAGAUCCUGUCUGGGAAAAAGCCAGAGCUUCAAGAUAUGCUGCUGCUGUCCACCAACCCGUACGACUAUCACUUCUGUUCACAAGGUGUAACAACUGUGGAUAACGUUGACGAUGGGGAAGAGCUUAUGGGCACUGAUCAUGCCAUGGAUAUCCUGGGUUUCAGCCCAGAGGAGAAGACUGGCAGCUAUAAAAUAGUUGGCGCCGUCAUGCAUUUUGGGAACAUGAAGUUCAAGCAGAAGCAGAGGGAGGAGCAGGCUGAAGCGGACGGCACUGAAAGUGCUGACAAGGCAGCCUAUCUAACAGGAAUCAGCUCAGCUGAUCUCAUUAAAGGUCUGCUCCAUCCCAGAGUAAAGGUUGGGAAUGAAUAUGUGACCAAAGGUCAAAAUGUGGAGCAGGUGGUAUUUUCAGUUGGUGCCUUGGCAAAGGCUACUUAUGAUCGGAUGUUCAAGUGGCUUGUUAGCCGAAUUAAUAAGACACUGGAUACCAAGCUGGCUAGACAGUUCUUCAUAGGAGUACUGGACAUCGCUGGCUUUGAAAUAUUUGAGUAUAACAGCUUUGAGCAGCUCUGCAUCAACUUCACCAAUGAGAAACUGCAACAGUUUUUCAACCACCACAUGUUUGUACUGGAGCAGGAAGAGUACAAGAAGGAAGGAAUCGAAUGGGUCUUCAUUGAUUUUGGCCUAGACUUACAGGCUUGCAUUGACCUCAUAGAAAAGCCAAUGGGAAUCCUUUCUAUUCUGGAAGAAGAGUGCAUGUUUCCUAAGGCAUCAGACAUGACCUUUAAAGCCAAGCUUUAUGACAACCACUUGGGGAAAUCUCCCAACUUCCAAAAGCCAAAAGUAGACAAGAAACGCAGAUACGAGCCUCACUUUGAGCUGGUCCAUUAUGCUGGUGUGGUGCCCUAUAACAUCAUGGGAUGGCUGGACAAGAAUAAGGAUCCUCUAAAUGAAACUGUGGUCGGAGUAUUCCAGAAGGCCUCCAACAAGCUAGUGGCCAGCCUGUAUGAGAAUUACAUCAGUUCCUACAGUUCAGGCGAGCAUAAGACGGGCGUGAAGGAAAAACGCAAGAAGGCGGCUUCAUUCCAGACUGUGUCUCAGCUUCACAAGGAGAAUCUUAAUAAACUGAUGACUAAUCUGCGGUCCACCCAGCCUCAUUUUGUCAGAUGCAUCAUCCCUAAUGAGAGCAAAACUCCAGGUGUCAUGGAUCCAUUCAUGGUCCUUCACCAGCUGAGGUGUAAUGGUGUCCUUGAAGGUAUUAGAAUUUGCCGUAAGGGAUAUCCCAACAGGCUCCUGUAUGCAGAAUUUAAGCAGAGGUAUCGGAUCCUCAAUCCCAAUGCCAUCCCAGACGACAAAUUUGUAGACAGCAGAAAAGCCACAGAAAAACUACUGGGGUCUCUGGACAUUGACCAUAACCAGUACAAGUUUGGACACACUAAGGUCUUCUUCAAAGCUGGUCUGCUUGGUCAACUGGAAGAGAUGCGAGAUGAGCGUCUGGCCAAGAUCAUCACCAUGUUGCAAGCCAGAAGUCGAGGUAGACUCAUGAGGAUUGAGUACCACAAGAUCAUUGCUAGAAGGGAUGCAUUGUUGGUUAUCCAGUGGAACAUAAGAGCCUUCAAUGCUGUUAAGAACUGGUCAUGGAUGAAACUGUUUUUCAAGAUUAAACCACUACUGAAAUCAGCCCAGACAGAAAAGGAAAUGGCCAACAUGAAGGAGGAAUUCCUGAGGCUGAAAGAGGCUCUGGAGAAGUCUGAAGCUAAGAGGAAAGAGCUGGAAGAGAAACAGGUUACUCUGGUCCAAGAGAAGAAUGACCUGGGUUUGCAACUUCAAGCCGAGCAAGACAAUCUUGCCGAUGCAGAAGAGCGAUGCGACUUGCUGAUCAAGACUAAGAUCCAGCUGGAGGCCAAAGCAAAAGAACUGAGUGAGAGGGUGGAAGACGAAGAAGAGAUGAACUCAGACUUGACUUCCAAGAAACGAAAACUGGAAGAUGAGUGUGCGGAACUAAAGAAGGACAUUGAUGACUUGGAAAUUACACUGGCCAAAGUAGAGAAGGAGAAACACGCCACAGAAAACAAGGUGAAGAACCUUGUUGAAGAGAUGGCAGCUUUGGAUGAGAUCAUCGCCAGGCUGACAAAAGAGAAGAAAGCUCUGCAGGAAGCUCACCAACAAGCUCUGGAUGACUUGCAGGGAGAAGAAGACAAAGUCAACACUCUAACCAAAGCCAAAGCUAAGCUAGAGCAACAAGUAGAUGAUCUGGAAGGAUCCCUAGAACAAGAGAAGAAACUCCGUAUGGAUCUAGAACGUGCAAAGCGAAAGCUAGAGGGAGAUCUAAAGCUCACCCAGGAGUCUGUGAUGGACCUGGAAAAUGAUAAGCAGCAGCUGGAGGAGAAACUUAAGAAGAAGGAUUUUGAAAUAAGCCAGCUAAAUUCCAGAAUUGAAGAUGAACAAAUGAUGUCUGCCCAGUUACAGAAGAAAAUCAAAGAGCUACAGGCCCGCAUAGAGGAGCUGGAAGAGGAGUUGGAAGCAGAGAGGGCCACCAGAGCGAAGGUGGAGAAACAGCGAUCCGAGGUGGCUAAAGAGCUGGAAGAACUGAGUGAGCGGCUGGAAGAAGCUGGCGGAGCCACCUCGGUGCAGAUCGAGAUGAACAAGAAGCGAGAAGCUGAAUUCCUGAAGAUGCGCAGAGACCUGGAGGAAGCCACACUGCACCACGAAGCCACAGCGGCUGGCCUGCGGAAGAAACACGCAGACACCGUGGCCGAGUUGGGUGAGCAGAUUGACAGCCUACAGAGGGUGAAACAAAAACUGGAGAAGGAAAAGAGUGAGAUGAGAAUGGAGCUGGAUGACCUGUCUUCAAAUAUUGAGCAACUCAUCAAAAAUAAGGGCAACGCUGAAAAGUUGUGUCGGACUUAUGAGGAUCAGCUGAGUGAGGCCAAAAGUAAGGUGGAUGAACUGCAGCGCCAGUUAGCUGAUAUGUCCCUUCACAGAGCCAGGCUGCAAACUGAGAAUGGAGAGCUAUCUCGCAUGCUGGAAGAGAAGGAAUCUCUUGUCAACCAACUGAGCAGAGGCAAAGCCUCCUUCACGCAGAGCAUUGAAGAACUGAAGCGGCAGUUAGAAGAGGAGACAAAGUCUAAAAAUGCUUUAGCACAUGCAUUACAAGCUUCCCGCCAUGACUGUGACCUCAUGCGAGAACAAUAUGAAGAAGAACAGGAAGCCAAAGCUGAACUACAGAGGUCUCUAUCAAAAGCAAAUGCAGAGGUAGCGCAGUGGAGGAACAAGUAUGAAACUGAUGCCAUUCAGAGGACAGAAGAACUGGAAGAUGCCAAGAAGAAGCUGGCAGCACGGUUACAGGAUGCUGAGGAGGCAGUGGAAUCUGCUAAUGCCAAGUGUUCCUCACUGGAGAAGACCAAGCAUCGACUUCAGACUGAGAUUGAAGACCUAGUCAUUGAUUUGGAACGUGCCAACUCUGCCGCCGCAGCCCUGGACAAGAAACAGAGGAACUUUGACCGGAUCCUUUCGGAGUGGAAGCAGAAAUAUGAGGAGACACAGGCCGAGCUUGAGGCUUCACAAAAGGAGUCCCGUAGCCUGAGCACUGAGCUCUUCAAACUGAAGAACGCAUACGAGGAGUCUCUAGAUAAUCUGGAGACCAUGAAGCGCGAGAACAAAAAUCUUCAAGAGGAAAUUGCUGAUCUCACUGAUCAAAUCGGUGCCAGUGGUAAAAUGAUCCAUGAACUGGAAAAGGUAAAGAAGGCUCUUGAAAGUGAGAAGACCGACAUCCAGGCAGCUCUAGAGGAGGCAGAGGGGGCUCUUGAACACGAGGAGAGCAAGACCCUAAGAAUACAGCUAGAACUCUCACAAAUUAAGGCAGAUGUGGACAGGAAGAUAGCAGAAAAAGAUGAAGAAAUUGAAAACCUCAGACGUAACCACCAGCGUGCCAUGGAGUCCAUGCAGGCAAGUCUAGACGCAGAGGCUAAAGCCAGGAACGAGGCCAUCCGACUCAAAAAGAAGAUGGAAGGCGAUCUGAACGAGAUGGAGAUCCAACUUAAUCAUGCCAAUAGGCAGGCUGCAGAGUCUCAGAAAAUGGUCCGACACCUGCAAUCCCAGAUGAAGGACUUGCAAAUCGAACUGGAUGACACUCUCCGACACAAUGAUGAUCUAAAAGAACAAGCUGCAGCCCUUGAGAGACGUAAUAACUUGUUACUGGCUGAGGUGGAGGAACUGAGGGCAGCACUGGAGCAAGCCGAGAGAGGAAGGAAACUGGCAGAGCAAGAACUACUAGAAGCCACCGAGAGGGUCAACCUUCUACACUCUCAGAACACUGGACUUAUUAACCAGAAGAAGAAACUGGACGCGGACAUCUCUCAGUUAAGCACUGAAGUGGAGGAAGCAGUUCAGGAAUGUCGGAAUGCAGAAGAAAAGGCCAAGAAAGCCAUUACUGAUGCAGCCAUGAUGGCAGAGGAGCUGAAGAAGGAGCAGGACACCAGUUCCCACUUAGAGAGAAUGAAGAAGAACAUGGAGCAAACAAUCAAAGACCUGCAAAUGCGUCUUGAUGAGGCUGAACAAAUUGCUUUGAAAGGAGGGAAGAAACAGAUCCAAAAGCUAGAAGCAAAGGUUAGAGAGCUGGAAGGGGAGCUGGAGAUUGAGCAGAAGAAAAACGCUGAAACUCAGAAAGGAAUUCGAAAGUACGAACGGAGGAUAAAGGAACUCACCUAUCAGACUGAAGAAGACCGGAAGAAUUUGGCACGAAUGCAGGACCUGAUAGACAAACUCCAGAUGAAAGUCAAGAGCUACAAGCGCCAGUCGGAGGAGGCUGAGACCCAGGCCAACUCCAGCCUUGUAAAGUACAGGAAGGUCCAACAUGAACUUGAUGAUGCAGAGGAGCGCGCUGAUGUCGCAGAGGCGCAAGUCAAUAAAUUGCGUGCGCGGACUAGAGAAGUUGUUUCUACCAAGGUGAUAACUGGGUAAUGAUGGGGGGGUUUACUCCGUGUUAGGGAAACACAGACUGCAGGACUCGGCCCAGUUUGAAGAAUGAGAAAGACUUGACAAUCCCUCCAGACAGCUGCAACAGCUGGACCCGACUCUCCCGAUUCUGCCUCCACCUCCCUCCCCAUCCCUGAAGUUAAAUAAAAUCUAUUGAGGCACAAUGA
RNA transcript from Rana temporaria (common frog), 6165 nucleotides. It is a transcript of the gene named myosin heavy chain 7B, with no coding region annotated. The transcript has 44 exons. NCBI's taxonomy places the organism in Eukaryota, Metazoa, Chordata, Amphibia, Anura, Ranidae. The record is from RefSeq and is a predicted model, not a curated record.